Nyctereutes procyonoides (raccoon dog) is the source of this 3091-nucleotide long non-coding RNA. RefSeq lists it as uncharacterized. The transcript has 4 exons. The record is from RefSeq and is a predicted model, not a curated record. Lineage: Eukaryota; Metazoa; Chordata; Mammalia; Carnivora; Canidae.
GGGCUCUCUGCAUGGAGCCUGCUUCUCCCUCUGCCUGUGUCUCUGUCUCUCUGUGUCUCUCAUGAACAAAAUCUUUAAGAAAAAAAUGCUGACAUCCUGGAAUUUGGCAAACUCUGAUUAAAUUUAGUAAAUAAUAGUGAAUCGGUGUUGAUUUUCUGAUUUUGAUUACUUUAGUUGCAUAAGAGGAAGUUUUAUUUUUGUUUUUUAAAGAAAAUACACCCGGGAGCAUUUAGAGGUAAAGGGCCUUCACGCGUGCAACUCACUGUCAAAUGUUUCCAAGGUGGAGAAUGAGCAAGUGUGGCUGACAGGUGGGGAAGCCGAGGGUCACGGUACCAUGAUAACAGGAGAUGGCAAAAAUGUCGAGAAAUGGGAGCCCUCCUAUCCUGCUGAUGGGGAUGGCAAACCGUGCAGCCACUUUGAAACCCAGUCUGGCUGUUCCUCAGAUAAUCAGAGUCACCGUGGGACCCGGCACUUGGCUCCUAGGUGUCCAACCAAGACAAAUGGAAGCGCGUGUCCAUGGAGGAACUUGCACAUGAAUGUUCAUGGCAGCAGUGUCCGUCAUGGCCAAAAGGUGGAGGAAAUAACCCAGAUGUCCAGUCCAUGUGCCAUAUCCAUGCGAUGAAAUAUGGCUCAGCCACAGAAAAGAAUGAAAUAUUGAAACCUGAUACACAAAAUCGAUGAACCUGCAGACAUGACACUAAAUGGAAGAAGCCAGUCACGAAAGGCCACCUAUUGCAUGAUUCCCUUCAUAUGAAAUCCACAGAGAUAGAAAAUAGCUCUUAAUCCCCUUCACCCAUUUCGCCUGAACUUGGUUCUAUUUCUGAUGUGUCCUCCAGCCGUCAGCUGUCGGCUCCUGGAUGGCGUGGCACCAGCAGGGCACUAUCCCCGAUGAAUCACGGCCGAGAUGGCCAGAAAUGACAGCCCCCAGGACGGUCCCGGAUGUGAGGAGCUUCUCACGGACUCGGUCGGAGCAGAAACGAUCGCAUCCUGCCUGGAAGGCCGCUUGGCAGGACUGACGCUGAGCUGCGCACACCUGUGAGACCCGCGAAGCCGGUGCAGGGGUCACGACCCCUGGGCUUGCAGUGCUGGGAGGGCGGCAAAAAGUUGGAAACGAUCAAAAGGCCCAGUAAAGGAAUAGAGAUACACAAGACUGAAGGUUUAAACCUCUAGAGAUGGUGGCGCUGAUCCAUAGUGAUAUGUGAAUGUGUCCGUGGUAUUUUGUGACGUGGGGCAAAGGGUCCAAAAAAGCUUGUAUCCCCCGAUCCCAAACAUGGAAACAGGCCUUGGCACGCCUGGAGAUGAGCACCAAGGCUCAUCCAGAGCUAAGUGAAGUGUUGGGAGGUCAGGCGCUUUUUGCUUUUAUUAUUUUGUCUGGGGUGUGUCAAAUUCAAUGUGAAAUGGAACGUGCACGGGUGUGCAAGGGGCCUGCGGCCCGCCAACAGCUGUGAGCAACUGCCGAAGCCACCGUGGGCAUGAAGGCCCUUCCCUCCCUCCCAGCGUGUCUGAACUCUGCUUCCCGGCCCACGUACCCCUCUCUUGGACCCAUCUAACCAACAAAGACUUAGGUUUGGGCUGUUUCCACGUUCUGAUCUCUUCCAAAUUUUUAAGUCAUUGGUUGUUAAGAGUCACUGUAGGGGAGACAGAAAAGCCAGUCCGCCCAGAGUGUGAGUGCAGAAGCCAUUGGUUGGAUUCCAGUUCCAAUGAACUGAGUUGGAUGCUGGCAUGGGGAGGGAGAGGGAAUCGGGUAUUGUGGGGUCAUCACGGCUUAUGCUGUGGGAAAACUGAGAAAGCGAUUCCAACACCUCAAGGAGAAAGUUGCAGCUUAGUGAGACCUGAAGGAGGGGUGGGAUUACACAGCAAAGAUGACCAGCACCGUGGCUUCCGCGAGCGGCAGCGAGAACUAUGGCAGGGAGGUGGGGAAACCAGGGAACAAAGAAAGGUUCAGUUGAACUGGAACGUGGGGAAUACAAGAAGGGCUGUGUGAGAAGGUGGGAGGGCUUUGAGAUCAAGGUGUUAAGAAAUGAAGAGUUUAUUUGUUAAGAUUUUAUUAGAGAGAGGGAGCAUGAGUGAGGGGAGAGGCAGAGGGAGAAGCAGACUCCCCGCUGAGCAGGGAGGCCCACGUGGGGCUCCAUCCUAGGACCCCGGGAUCAUGACCUGAGCUGAAGGCAGAUGCCCCGGGACAUUAACGGUUUAAACGCUGUUCAGAAGAAGAGCGUUUGGCAAACAGGGAACUCAGACUUGUUCUCCAGGGAUUGCAGGUGCUUUAUGAGAAAUUACACAUCUCACACUUGAACUUUAAUUUUUAAAAGACUCAUAAGGGGGCGCUUGGGUGGCACAGCCAGUUAAGCGUCAGACCCUUGAUUUUGGUUCAGGCAACGAUCUCAGGGUGGUAAGAUCGAGCCCCAAGUCGGGCUGUGUCGGGCUCUGGGCUGGGCACAGGGACACGCCUAAGAUGUCCCCAUGCUCAUGUACUCUUUCUAAAAUAAAUCUUUAAAAAAAAAAAAGACUCAUAAGAUUGAUUUAGAGGCCUCCUUAUGCCUGAAUACUACUUUGUCUUGGUGUCAGUGUUUGUAAUCACCAUGGUGCCAGGUUAAACACAGAUGAAAUCGCUGUUUGCCAUACACAGUCUUCACAUUUGUUCCCAUAUUUUGAGUUGAAGACAAAGUGAGUUCUUGCACUGUAUACUUCUCUCACCUCCAUGCAAAUGGGAUACCCGGGUGGGUCAGUGGUUGAGGGUUUGCCUUCAGCUCAGGGUGUGAUCCUGGGUCCGGGGAUCGAGUCCCACAUCGGGGUCCCUGCAGGGGGCCUGCUUCUCCCUCUGCCUGUAUUUCUGUCCUUCUGUGUAUAUCUGUCAUGAAUAAAUAAAAUCUUUUAAAAAAAUAAAACUGAGAAUGUAGCAUUGCCUAGGAAUAUACUUUCUCAGAACCGAUUCUAGAUAAGCCAGAGAACAGAGUACAUCCAUUUUCAUAGAGGAAAUGAGGAAGUCAUCAGAUAACCCACCCAGAAGACAGUCAGAAGGGACCCUACGGAAAGCACCAACUCUGCAGAGUAAUAAUAAUCCCAAAUCUGUUUUGAGACAGGCUGAAGCAGA